AAGUCGUAACAAGGUUUCCGUAGGUGAACCUGCGGAAGGAUCAUUAUUGAAUAAACCUGAUGGGUUGUAGCUGGUUCCUUCGGGGACAAGUGCUCGCCUGUCAUCUUUAUAUCUCCACCUGUGCACUUCUUGUAGACCUGGAUAACUUUCUGAGGCAACUCAGUUAUGAGGAUUGCUGUGUGUUUUGCGACGCCGGCUUUCCUUACAUUUCCAGGCCUAUGUUUUUCAUAUACCCCAUUGUAUGUAACAGAAUGUUUCACAAGGCUUCAAUGCCUAUAAACAAAAUACAACUUUCAGCAACGGAUCUCUUGGCUCUC
This 317-nucleotide unclassified non-coding RNA is filed under the name Tubaria praestans. Its description in RNAcentral is "partial internal transcribed spacer region". The stretch from base 1 to 46 matches the Rfam family "Eukaryotic small subunit ribosomal RNA", at positions 1786 to 1831 of the family's 1831-position model. Lineage: Eukaryota; Fungi; Basidiomycota; Agaricomycetes; Agaricales; Tubariaceae. RNAcentral also lists the same sequence under 1 other name. The record is from RNAcentral.